UAUAGGGUAGCACAGAAAUUCCUGUGUUUUGGCCUCAGCAUAUGGAUUUGCAAAAGUGAACUAGAACAAUGUUCUGAGGGAAAAAAAGGCUUUUUUUUUUUCUUUCAGUAUCUUCUUUAGUUUUACAUCUCUUUUGCUGACUUCUAAAACCUAGAGAUAGUCUCUUCAAUGACCUAAACCUGCUGAUGACUACACAGUUUGAGUGAGAACCAAAUGGUUUGAGUUCUAUGAUUUUUAGGAUUUAAGUUGAUUCCCACACAAUCUGAUUAAAACAAGCUGCUGUCACAGAUGAGGUUUUUAUCACAUUAUUAUCACUCUCUCCAGCAUACCUUUGUCUAGAAGCUUCUGUACUUAAGUUUGCCAGCAUACACAAUAAGAGAUAAAAUGAUAAAAAAUUCUUCGGAUAUGUGUCCAAGAUAUUUUCAGACUGCUGUCCCUGAGCAUCUCUGCACAUCAGUUGCCAUGCAAGAAGUAGUCAAGCUUUCAUUCUCCACUGCCCAAGCGGCAGCAACUCUGUAACAGAACUGCAACCAGGAAAAAAAGAUGGCAUGUCUAAUAUUUUUGUUUGACUUAGCUUCAAAGUUAGUGUUUAUUUCCUGAAUUGAUACUGCAGUCCAAAAAGAGCAUGAAAAUGAAAUGACAGAGACAUGGCAAAACACUGGAGUUUAGUGAGAAGUUGGCUGUACUCUGGAAUUCACCAGCACCAGGGUCCAGGACUUCGUUGAUGCAUGAACAAGGGAGGACAGAGCUGUGACUGAGGACUAUAAAAGACCCCUGAGUUAACCAGAGACUCUGAGACUCCCCCUGAUGGACACAACUGAUCUAUUGGCUGGACCAUGAGGAUUUCGUCUCUCUGUUGUUUCUAUGCUGAUCCACCAGUGACUGCUUAGGAAAUUCAGGGCCCCGGAGGAGGUGUCACGCCCCCGUCAAGCACACAACAUCGAGCACAUCACAAAAGGGGAAGAAGAGGAAGAAGAGAUGUACACCCCUCACAAAGGUCUUGAGUGUUCUCAUGUUCUCAUAUUUUUCUCACGUCUUUCAAUCAAUUCACAAAGAAAAAGGACAAAUUGUGUUACGGUGCACUCGGGCUAUACUUUCCUCCCUUUCGGGGACCACUGUGACUGGAAUCAGAUAAACAGGGUCCCUUCCUUUCUGCUCCCCUGGGGUUGGCCGAGAGCCAGAAAGCCCUACCUGUCCAGAGCCUAGAUAAGACCAUGAUCCUUCCCGUUCGGGCUGUCUUUCCCCCUCCAUCUCAUGGAUUAAACAAGCUUGGAGAACCACAUUGGGAAUUGGAGCCUCUUUUGUACCUGUGCCCAUCUCCUGACGUGCCUUCCCUCAAGGCUCCAUAUAUCUGGGCUGGCCUAGUGAUUUGGGGGGGCUGAGAGGGUAGGCUCCUGAAAAUUGUUUUUCCUGUUUACAAAUUGUUUUCCAAGUAGCUGGGAUCUUCUAAGAGUUCUAAGGGUUAAAUGGUUGCUUGGUUUUAGUGUUAAUUUCUAAUUUUGUAACUUCUAAGCAAAUUGCCUCUGACAAGCUAGCCUGAGUUCUCACUUAACAGCUUCUAGUUUUGAGUGCUGCAUCUCCAGUGAUACAUGAGAAACAUCGCUAACUGAGAAAGCUAAGUUUGUCAAUUUGAGUAAAACACUCAUGUUGUCUUUGUCAUCCUAUCAGGUAACAAAGAACACUUUUAUAUUUUUUUUAUAUAACUCAAAGGGUGAGUUGUAGCAUUACAGUCCUUGGGUGGGCAAGGAUAGGUUGGAUUUAAAUCUGCACAGGGACUUUGUGGGAGGUGGUCCUGGGGGGGAUCCACCAGGAAUGCCCUGGGACACUACAAUGGUCUAAGGAAAAGCAUUGUCCUAGGAUUCCCUCCUUCCCCCAUGUCUAUCACUAGUUGUACCCUCCCCUGUUAAUGUCUAUCAACCAGUUGUACCAUCCCCAGUUCUGGAAAGUUCCUAGUUAUAUGUACUGUGAUUGGUUCUCUCCCCGAAACUACUCCUUCCCCUCUCUCCCACUGGAUCACCCCAUUCCUACUCCUCCCAUGAGCCCCUAUCCCAUUGGCCCCUAUGUACCCUGACCCUGCCUCUCCUUCCCCGGUUAUAAUUCCCGACCCCUCCUCUGGAGGAGGCUCUCAGUGUCAGCUUCCCUCUCAAAAGGUGGUCUCCCUGCAUCUUCCCUGCCUCUUCCUGCCUUCCUCUACCCCUGCUGAACCUGCAAUAAACCCUCAAGAACAACA
Molecule: long non-coding RNA, 2230 nt
Organism: Vidua chalybeata
Lineage: Eukaryota; Metazoa; Chordata; Aves; Passeriformes; Viduidae
Exons: 6
Source: RefSeq, a predicted model, not a curated record